This 1881-nucleotide long non-coding RNA is filed under the name Anas platyrhynchos platyrhynchos (common mallard). RNAcentral describes it as "lncRNA (ENSAPLG00000028712.1)". Lineage: Eukaryota; Metazoa; Chordata; Aves; Anseriformes; Anatidae. The record is from RNAcentral.
GAAAAUGGGAAAACUUCUGAGUGUGUGUAUAGUUCACAUACUUUAUUGACAAUCCGGAAACCUAAUGAAGAGUUGGUUCUACCACUGAAAUCUGGAGAUAUAUUAUUACUGUACACUGUUUCUGCUACCACGUGCGAUGAAAUUAGUCCAUGCUGCAGCUAGGGCAUUGCCUUGUAGCACAACUGGGACUUUACCUCUCUAUAUAGCAAAGAUAACUUAAUAGCAUAGCCCCAGCCACACACAGGCCACUAAGAGACCAUCUGUGUAAGGCUUGUGGCCCAUUUUCAUGCUCAGCCAGAGGCAAUCCUUCUAAUGACUUCAGGGAAUGAUAAGGAUUUCACAGGAAAGUGGAAAAAAAUGGUUAAAUGUCUGAAAAGAUUUACACAAGAGAAGAAUGAUGCUGAAAAUGCAUACAGCUUAGCUAAGCAGUGACUCAGAGGGAUCUGAUUGCCAUCCACAAAUAUUUCAGAGAGGUUAAACACAUGGGUGGGGAGGAACUACUCAGGAUAACAAGGGAAAGAAAGCAAUAUGAUUGCAGACAAUUUGGGUUGAACUGCAGGCAUAUCUUCUCAAUAGCAUGACUGGUUAGACUGUGGAGCAAUUUGCAAGUGAGACGGUGGUGGUCUCAGCAUUUUGGCCAUUUACUGCCAGAUGGGGAAAACAUGUGGUGAUGAAUAAUCCUAUUGUAGAAGUAGAUGGACUUCACAGAUUUUUCACAAGCUGUUUCUUUUAUGCUCUCAAGCUUCUGGGAUCUCAGGAUGAAAAAGGUAGGAGCAGACGAAAAAGUUAGAGGCAGGAAACCAGCCUCAGUUCCAUGGCUUCUCCCAGCCCACAGACAGCUGCUUCAAUCCCAAAUGUCCAAGCCCUACCAGAGAACCUAGCAGCAACUUGAGCACCUUUUGUUCUACCUCUGCCAACAAAUCUUUACUGAAAACUCCAAAAUACUGCUCAAUUUCAGCUGAAUGAAAAACAUCCAGGUAUUUUGAUUUUCUCCUGAAUAGCAACAAGGCAAAAAUUUACCUGAAAAUUCAGAAUUUGAGCUGAAAUGUUAUACUAUUAUUUCAUAUGCAAUAGGGAUGCUUCUUUGGAAUACGUAUUAACAUUUCUUUGUUUUGGAAGGUGGCAGAUUAGCUUUGUUGUGAUUUAUCAUUUACUCCAGAGACAUGCUAUUCUGUGAGAUAUUGUAUCUCUGUGAGAUACAUAAACUUUAUUUAAAUCAAUGUCACAAUUUCUCCCUCUAGCUAAAAUUCAACUAAGAAAAAAAAAAUUAAGACUUAAUUUUAUGGCAAAUCAUUAAAACUUCCCAAUAAGUUGGCCAAAGAACAGAAAACAUUAUUUUGAUGCCUGUGUAUGAAAUUACCAUUUUUUUUUUAACACCGCAUCAUUCACUGUUUCUCUGCAACUUACUGAACAAUUGUACCCCCCACUUUUUGACCUGCUGUCUAAUUCUUAUUUGAACUUCUGACAAUUCUCUAUUUUUCCCAUCUACCAUACUAGAAGGCUUAAGGCCCUUUGUUUCUGGUAUCAAAUUUAAAUAUCCUUCUGUUGUCUGUUUUGCUAGAUUUAUGUGUGUUGACUGUUACUCUCCCUUGGUUUGGUCUUCACAGUAGUUCACAUUGCUUUAGUUUGCUAGGCUAGAGAGCAUUAGUUUGAACAGCCUGAUCAGGGCUCUCUUUUGCUAUCUGUUAACUAUUGUCUGUUAACUAAGUCUGUUUAUGGCUUUACAGCAGUUUUUUUCUCAGAUUAGUGAAUAAGAAACUUUUGUUCCUUUAGAGGGACAGAGAAGCUGCCUUAGUUUCACUGAAAUAAGAGUUGGAAAAGACCUGUCAGACCACCAAAUUAAUCACUUGAUAAGUAUGGGACUACUGCCUCUAUCUCUGU